Molecule: long non-coding RNA, 1512 nt
Filed under: Anser brachyrhynchus (Pink-footed goose)
Lineage: Eukaryota; Metazoa; Chordata; Aves; Anseriformes; Anatidae
Description: lncRNA (ENSABRG00000010868.1)
Source: RNAcentral
UCUGUUGCUAGAGGAGAACAAUUUUCAGCAAAGCUUUCUAUUUUCCUAGAAUUGAGAUUUUAAUCAGAAUAACAUUCAAAUAAUCCUUGAAAAGAGGCCCCACAGACAGAAACUUGUGGUACGUCUUUUAGGACCGGAGUCUUUUUCCCAAAGCUGCCCCAAAGCUGCCUCUUGGAUUUUGUUUGGGACCGGCUGCCCCAGGGUACAACCAUAAACCAGACUAACACAGAGCCCUGUGCCGCAGCAUGCUACAAGCAGAGGCUCUUUUUUUUUUUUUUUUUUUUAAUCCAGGAGUGACUGUGUUUUAAUGGCAAUUGAAGCUAUUUAUGCCUAUAAAUCCACUCAGGGAAGGUUUUGGAACCUUUUAUUGUGACGGAUGCUGUGCAAAUAUAAAAGCACUCUGCUGCAACCAGCUGGGUAGGUAGGAGCUGCAGCAGUAUCUGCUCUGCUUGUCUGACUGGAGGGUCUGCAAGAAGGCACCUUCUGAAGGGACCCUCCUUUUUCCUGCUGUAUUUUAAUACUAAUUAAUUCCAGAAAGGCUAAAGAAAUGUGAUGAAAUGCUACACUUCUAAGAAAAAGUUUUGCCUGAGAGUCUGGAAGCAGGCCUCCCAGCGCGGGAGGGCCUGGUGGGAGAAAUGGGACGAUCAAAUGGACGGAGCAAGAAACCUUGUGAAAAACUCGUCUCGAGCGCUGGCUGCGUGGCACCGCUUUCCCAGAGGCAUCGUCGCACGGUGUUUGUUAUUGUUCUUCAGUAAAACCCAAAUGUAUUUAAAGAAGUAGACUCAUUAUGUACUUCACUUGGAGAUUUUUUCCCUUCCCCAGUAAACACUAUGGAAGUCCUUCACAGCACCUUCUGGUAUGUUUUUUGGCAGCCGGUAUUGAACCAACCGUCUGAUCUCCACCAGUUGAAUAUAUUUACAUUAACUUAAACCCUUUGGAUUAAGCAAGAUUUUGUUUUCUUAUCCUUUCUCUAACAUGUAAGCACAGACCUAAUUAGCGGUCCUGCUCCGCACGGCAAAGGACGUAACGGCUGAAUUAGGGGCUGACUCUCCCAAAGGCAGGAUUGAAAAUACUCCUGGACUUGACGUGGUUUCAAACACGGCUUUGCACAUUUUGCUGUUUUCCACUCCUGCCUGAUUUUAUAGACUCACAUUAAUACGGAGUGGGAGACACCGUUUGUUGCUCACCCAAGGUCGGCAGCAGCUACAGCGGCUGCGGUUAACGCUGGGAGCAGGGGGAUGCCUUCACUUUAGCCCUGGUUAAAGGCCCUGCUCCUGCGCCCGUGCACCGGGGCCGGCUCAGGCAAGCGCAUGGCAGAGCUUUUGUUGUUGUUGUUUGGUUUUGAAGUCAAGAAAUAGGAAACUGCUUGAAUCGCUGGAGCCAGAGCGUCUCUGCAACAGGCAGCCAAAUACAAAAAAAAAGGGCUGUAUCAGUGUUUAAUUACUUUGUUGUUUUUAAAAUCUUUUUUAUUCCUGUUGAAAAGCUCCAACUCGACGGUACCUGGGAGCAGGG